This 1394-nucleotide ribosomal RNA is filed under the name Phaenostoma sp. MF37. RNAcentral describes it as "SSU rRNA". It matches the Rfam family "Eukaryotic small subunit ribosomal RNA", at positions 442 to 1753 of the family's 1831-position model. The record is from RNAcentral. Lineage: Eukaryota; Metazoa; Arthropoda; Insecta; Coleoptera; Hydrophilidae.
UACCCACUCCCGGCACGGGGAGGUAGUGACGAAAAAUAACGAUACGGGACUCAUCCGAGGCCCCGUAAUCGGAAUGAGUACACUCUAAACCCUUUAACGAGGAUCAAUUGGAGGGCAAGUCUGGUGCCAGCAGCCGCGGUAAUUCCAGCUCCAAUAGCGUAUAUUAAAGUUGUUGCGGUUAAAAAGCUCGUAGUCGAAUCUGUGUCUCGCGCCGCCGGUUCAUCGCUCGCGGUGUUUAACUGGCGUGCCGCGGGACGUCCUGCCGGUGGGCCCCGUCCCUCCGGGGGCGGCCCAACUUAGAAUCCCGUGCCGGUGCUCUUCGCUGAGUGUCGGGACGGGCCGGCACGUUUACUUUGAACAAAUUAGAGUGCUUAAAGCAGGCUAAAACUUCGCCUGAAUAUUCUGUGCAUGGAAUAAUGGAAUAGGACCUCGGUUCUAUUUUGUUGGUUUUCGGAACCCCGAGGUAAUGAUUAAUAGGAACGGAUGGGGGCAUUCGUAUUGCGACGUUAGAGGUGAAAUUCUUGGAUCGUCGCAAGACGGACGGAAGCGAAAGCAUUUGCCAAAAACGUUUUCAUUGAUCAAGAACGAAAGUUAGAGGUUCGAAGGCGAUCAGAUACCGCCCUAGUUCUAACCAUAAACGAUGCCAGCUAGCGAUCCGCCGACGUUCCUCCGAUGACUCGGCGGGCAGCUUCCGGGAAACCAAAGCUUUUGGGUUCCGGGGGAAGUAUGGUUGCAAAGCUGAAACUUAAAGGAAUUGACGGAAGGGCACCACCAGGAGUGGAGCCUGCGGCUUAAUUUGACUCAACACGGGAAACCUCACCAGGCCCGGACACCGGAAGGAUUGACAGAUUGAGAGCUCUUUCUUGAUUCGGUGGGUGGUGGUGCAUGGCCGUUCUUAGUUGGUGGAGCGAUUUGUCUGGUUAAUUCCGAUAACGAACGAGACUCUAGCCUGCUAACUAGGCGUAUUUUCGACAUCUCAAAGGCCCCACGGCCCGGCGUUUUCGCGCCGCGGUCGCGCGCGGUUUUUACUGUCGGCGUACAAUCAAUUCUUCUUAGAGGGACAGGCGGCGUCUAGCCGCACGAGAUUGAGCAAUAACAGGUCUGUGAUGCCCUUAGAUGUUCUGGGCCGCACGCGCGCUACACUGAAGGAAUCAGCGUGUCCUCCCUGGCCGAGAGGCCCGGGUAACCCGCUGAACCUCCUUCGUGCUAGGGAUUGGGGCUUGCAAUUGUUCCCCAUGAACGAGGAAUUCCCAGUAAGCGCGAGUCAUAAGCUCGCGUUGAUUACGUCCCUGCCCUUUGUACACACCGCCCGUCGCUACUACCGAUUGAAUGAUUUAGUGAGGUCUUCGGACCGGUACGCGGCGGCGCUCCCGCGUCGCCGAUGUUGCUGGGAA